RNAcentral lists this ribosomal RNA (898 nucleotides) under Cladobotryum indoafrum. Its description in RNAcentral is "LSU rRNA". It matches the Rfam family "Eukaryotic large subunit ribosomal RNA", at positions 36 to 965 of the family's 3401-position model. The record is from RNAcentral. Lineage: Eukaryota; Fungi; Ascomycota; Sordariomycetes; Hypocreales; Hypocreaceae.
UAGCAUAUCAAUAAGCGGAGGAAAAGAACCAACAGGGAUUGCCCCAGUAACGGCGAGUGAAGCGGCAACAGCUCAAAUUUGAAAUCUGGCCCCUCGGGCCCGAGUUGUAAUUUGUAGAGGAUGCUUUUGGCAAGGUGCCGCCCGAGUUCCCUGGAACGGGACGCCGCAGAGGGUGAGAGCCCCGUCUGGCUGGCCGCCGAGCCUCUGUAAAGCUCCUUCGACGAGUCGAGUAGUUUGGGAAUGCUGCUCAAAAUGGGAGGUAUAUGUCUUCUAAAGCUAAAUAUUGGCCAGAGACCGAUAGCGCACAAGUAGAGUGAUCGAAAGAUGAAAAGCACUUUGAAAAGAGGGUUAAACAGUACGUGAAAUUGUUGAAAGGGAAGCGCUCAUGACCAGACUUGGGCUUGGCGGAUCAUCCGGCGUUCUCGCCGGUGCACUUCGCCUCGCCCAGGCCAGCAUCAGUUCGCGCCGGGGGACAAAAGCUUCGGGAAUGUGGCUCCUCCGGGAGUGUUAUAGCCCGUUGCAUAAUACCCUGGGGCGGACUGAGGUUCGCGCAUCUGCAAGGAUGCUGGCGUAAUGGUCAUCAGCGACCCGUCUUGAAACACGGACCAAGGAGUCGUCUUCGUAUGCGAGUGUUCGGGUGUCAAACCCCUACGCGUAAUGAAAGUGAACGCAGGUGAGAGCUUCGGCGCAUCAUCGACCGAUCCUGAUGUUCUCGGAUGGAUUUGAGUAAGAGCAUACGGGGCCGGACCCGAAAGAAGGUGAACUAUGCCUGUAUAGGGUGAAGCCAGAGGAAACUCUGGUGGAGGCUCGCAGCGGUUCUGACGUGCAAAUCGAUCGUCAAAUAUGGGCAUGGGGGCGAAAGACUAAUCGAACCUUCUAGUAGCUGGUUUCCGCCGAU